This 68-nucleotide transfer RNA is filed under the name Marmota monax (woodchuck). RNAcentral's name for it is "tRNA.Ala". The record is from RNAcentral. Lineage: Eukaryota; Metazoa; Chordata; Mammalia; Rodentia; Sciuridae.
GUUGUGGCUCAGAGGCAGAGCACCUGCCUAGCAUGUGUGAGGCCCUGGGUUCGAUGCUCAGCACAACA